AGCGAACGCUGGCGGCAGGCCUAACACAUGCAAGUCGAACGAACCUUUCGGGGUUAGUGGCGGACGGGUGUGUAACACGUGGGAACGUGCCUUUAUGUUCGGAAUAACUCAGGGAAACUUGUGCUAAUACCGAAUGUGCCCUUCGGGGGAAAGAUUUAUCGCCUUUAGUGCGGCCCGCGUCUGAUUAGCUAGUUGGUUGAGGUAAUGGCUCACCAAGGCGACGUUCAGUAGCUGGUCUGAGAGGAUGAUCAGCCACAUUGGGACUGAGACACGGCCCAAACUCCUACGGGAGGCAGCAGAGGGGAAUCUUGCGAAAUGGGCGAAAGCCUGACGCAGCCAUGCCGCGUGAAUGAUGAAGGUCUUAGGAUUGUAAAAUUCUUUCACCGGGGACGAUAAUGACGGUACCCGGAGAAGAAGCCCCGGCUAACUUCGUG
RNAcentral lists this ribosomal RNA (434 nucleotides) under uncultured bacterium. Its description in RNAcentral is "partial 16S ribosomal RNA". It matches the Rfam family "Bacterial small subunit ribosomal RNA", at positions 29 to 507 of the family's 1533-position model. The record is from RNAcentral.